This 297-nucleotide ribosomal RNA is filed under the name uncultured bacterium. Its description in RNAcentral is "partial 16S ribosomal RNA". It matches the Rfam family "Bacterial small subunit ribosomal RNA", at positions 28 to 334 of the family's 1533-position model. The record is from RNAcentral.
GAUGAACGCUGGCGGCGUGCCUAAUACAUGCAAGUCGAACGCGAGCAGCAAUGCUCGAGUGGCGAACGGGUGAGUAAUACAUAAGUAACCUGCCCUAGACAGGGGGAUAACUACGCGAAAGCGUAGCUAAUACCGCAUACGCCCUACGGGGGAAAGGAGGGGAUCUGCAAGGACCUUUCACUAUUGGAGCGGCCGAUAUCGGAUUAGCUAGUUGGUGAGGUAACGGCUCACCAAGGCGACGAUCCGUAGCUGGUUUGAGAGGACGACCAGCCACACUGGGACUGAGACACGGCCCAG